RNAcentral lists this long non-coding RNA (921 nucleotides) under Nicotiana benthamiana. Its description in RNAcentral is "long non-coding RNA (NBEN_LNC003895)". Lineage: Eukaryota; Viridiplantae; Streptophyta; Magnoliopsida; Solanales; Solanaceae. The record is from RNAcentral.
AGCAACAAUAUGUCAGGAUGAUAGAAUAAAACGUAAUGGAGAAAAUAAUAUUUGAUUUAGGUAUAUCUUUGUCUAGAAUUUUAUUUGCAAAUUAAAUAUAAUUAUUUCUCAGUUACGUUCUUAAUAGUGACUAAAUAUUAACAACGAUAAAAAAACCUGCCAUAUCAAACGAUUAUCAGAGUAAAGCUGAAGUACGAAAAUAAAUACAGUAGAAAUUAUUGUAAGAUUGGGCCAUGUAAUAUUCAAAUUACAAGCUCAAACUCCUGAUUCGACCCGUCACUUCCAACAUGGGCUUCUUCUUCGGCCGAUAGUCCAUUGAACCACCACCACAAAGUUCACUAUCUCACUCCGCCGCCGCCGGCGACGAUCUGGUCGUUCCAUCUCUUUCUCCGGAGACGGCGUCUAUUUGUACGUUCACCAUCUCUCUCUAUCAUUCAUUAGGGAAAAUCUCUCAUCGUUUUCAAAUUGCUUUUUUGUUUUGUUUGUGUUUGCUUCCACUGCAUAAAGAAAGCUUUUUCUUUUUCCUCUCAAAUGGACACUUGAGUGAAUAUAGGUAUCUUAUUAGUUAUAGAAGAUAAUAAGUAGAGUAUUGUUUAUUAGAAGUAGACUGUAUGUUGAGUUUGUUUUAGUACAUUGCUUUAAUAAAAGAAUUUGUCUUUAAUUUACCGAGAUUAUUGAUUUGUUAGAGAGAAGAAUCUAAUUUUGUUUGUUGUCAGCACAUAGAUGGACUGCAGAGUCCUAUCGUUGAAUAGGUCUUGUCGCUUGGCUACCAUUCCUACACGCAAUACUGUAUUUUAUCGGAAAUGUUCUUAUCUGCCUGCAGGUAUUACUUUCAGUAGUUCCUUCUUUUGCAGUAUGUUAAUACAACAACAACAACAACAACUACCCAGUAUACUCCCACCAGGUGGGGUCUGGGGAAGG